Molecule: ribosomal RNA, 453 nt
Filed under: uncultured bacterium
Lineage: Bacteria
Description: partial 16S ribosomal RNA
Rfam family: Bacterial small subunit ribosomal RNA
Source: RNAcentral
GAUGAACGCUGACAGAAUGCUUAACACAUGCAAGUCAACUUGAACUUCGGUUUGGGUGGCGGACGGGUGAGUAACGCGUAAAGAACUUGCCUCACAGCUAGGGACAACAUUUGGAAACGAAUGCUAAUACCUGAUAUUAUGAUUAUAUGGCAUCGUAUAAUUAUGAAAGCUAUAUGCGCUGUGAGAGAGCUUUGCGUCCCAUUAGCUAGUUGGAGAGGUAACAGCUCACCAAGGCGAUGAUGGGUAGCCGGCCUGAGAGGGUGAUCGGCCACAAGGGGACUGAGACACGGCCCUUACUCCUACGGGAGGCAGCAGUGGGGAAUAUUGGACAAUGGACCGAGAGUCUGAUCCAGCAAUUCUGUGUGCACGAUGAAGUUUUUCGGAAUGUAAAGUGCUUUCAGUUGGGAAGAAAAAAAUGACGGUACCAACAGAAGAAGUGACGGCUAAAUACGG